Taeniopygia guttata (zebra finch) is the source of this 4181-nucleotide non-coding RNA. The record is from RefSeq and is a predicted model, not a curated record. Lineage: Eukaryota; Metazoa; Chordata; Aves; Passeriformes; Estrildidae.
UUUCUCUGGGCAGUGCCAUGUAUGACAUGGAAACACAAGAGGUGGCAAUUGUGUUUCUUGGGGGGGUCUGUGGCACAGGAGAGACUCCUCUCUCCCUUGAUGCACUGAGUAUUGAUUAUCUGAAGGGUGCUAACCUGAUUGGGGGUCCAAGUUGUGUCUCACUAUGGUUUGUAGGAAUUGGCGGGGGGGAGGAGGAAUGUUUUGGAAGGUUUUCAUUUUAUAUUUAGUGUGUGUUUUUCUUUUUUCCUUUUAUGGUAGUAGCAGUUUAAAAAGUUUUUCCUUUGUUAUUAAGCUUGGACCUGCUCUGCUCUGUUCCUGAUCGCAUCUCACAGCAUUCAUUUGGGAGGUUGCAUUUUCAUGGGGGCGCUGGCAUUGUGCCAGUGUCAAACCAUGACACAUGGGGACACAUGGACACACAUGGACAUGGAGGGGGACGGGGGCAUUUGUGGGGACAUGGGGGGACACAGGCAUAGAUGGAGACAUGGGGGACAAUGUCAGGGAUGGAAACAUGGUGGGGAGACAGCCAUGGGUGAGGACAUGGUGGGACAUGGCCAGUGACAUGUGGGGACAUGGCCAUGGCCGGUGCCAUGGAGGGAACUUGGCAGGGCAUGCGGGGGAUGCUGGGUUUGAGGGAGUUGAGGGUUCCUGGGAGGGACUUGGGCCUUGUUGAGGCCUUUGGGGAGCCCAGGCCGAGCGGCUCCAGCUGCGCUGGGAGACCCUGGUGGAGGUUCUGGGGCAGCUGCUCAAGGACCCCUGACCUGGAGCCCCAGCCGGGCAUUGGGCUCCUGGAAGGGGAUGAACAUCCUUGUCCCCAGGAGGGAAAUCCCAGCACCACCAGGGUUUUGGGGGCAGCUGAGGGGCCACAACGUGGAGGGGAAAGCCCAACAGAGGUGUCACAGUCCUAAGCUAAAUCCCAAAAGCCCCAAAACUCAGGGAUUCCUCCCAGGAAAAAGCAGCCAGGCGGGGUCUGAAUUGAGAGAAAGGGGGGAUGUUACCCCCAGACUGAGCAGGAGGAUCCUGGAACCCCCAAAACCAAGCACGGGGUACAGGAGUGGUGGGCUGGGGGGCAGUGGGAAAGGGGCAGAAGAGCAGGGGAAAAGGAAGCUGCAACCCCGGAAGAUUGGGGGAUGGGGCAGGGAUCCCAACAUUGCGAUUGGAGGGGUCCCACACCUCCUCUUUCAAACCCCACAUACUUCUCUCUGAUCUUUCUCUGCCCUCCUCCAUCUCCUCCUCCUCCUCCAUCUAUUCUCAUGUGCCCACCCCCCCUUCCAGCCCACCCUUGGAACUCACCCCUCCAUUUUCCCAACGCUGUCAUAUCCCAAGGGAGGAGCUGGGAUGGAGCUGGGGUAGGUCAGGCUUGGGCAGCACUGGGCUCUGGGCCUGGCCUGGGCAUCCCCAUAUGUCCUCUCCCCAAAUUCCCUUGGUGGCUUUUGGGGAUCCCAGCACCUUUUGGGGUUUGCUAGGUGUUGUGUUGGGGUUCAAGUGCCUCCCAAGGAGUCCCCAGAGUGGGGUGACAUUGGGGAAACACAUGUGGGUCCCCAUUUCCAAUCCAUCCUGGGGCCAGCUCUGCCCUCUCCAAUCACAGCCCCUCCCAAAUCCCUUCCCAGCGCCCCCAAUAAAUGGCACAGGGGCAAACUGGGAAGCUUUACCGGUGUGAAAGACAAUAGCAUAGUUUUUGUUCAUCAGGAAAAACCCCAGGGAUUGUGUAAGUCGCAGGAAACAGUGGGGCAGGAGGGCAGGAUGUACUGCUAUUAGUAGACAGUGGAAUUGAGAGCUCUUUGAAGGCUGCGUUACCAUAUUUGGAGAAGUUAUUGCAGGGUUAACGCUACCUCGGAGGAAGAAGAAUAGGAGCUUUCCUCAAACAACCACCGGACAGCAGAACAAAGACCCCUAGCAACACGCCGCGCAGAUGCAGAGCACGUCGAGACUGUCACAAAGUCCGGAACUGAAGGGGUAUGAGAACUGAAAGACCGGGAGGUGCGGGGUGAGCCGUUGGUGGGAGCAGAGGCUCCCCGGCCGCCCAGCGCUGCAUUUGCCCGUACUGCUUGCUUGCUAAAUUAAUAAAAUUCUCUUUAUAAAGUGACACAAAUUGGUCCCGUGUCAUAAUUUAUCACAACUUGGUGCCGUGACUCGGAUAGAGAAAUAGCCUGGUUGUUCUGGGACCCUCGGGAGGCGCCCCGCCUUUUUUUGGCGGCCCGAUUGUCCCAGACCUCCCGGUCUCUCUACCGACGAACCUAAAUUAAGCUGCGGGCAAAGGAGAACCGGUUAAAAGGAGAACCGGUUACCCCUGUAAACUUUGUGCACGAAGAUCCGAGCGAAGACGCAGGACGCAAACUGCUAUCAGAACAGCUGAGAAGGGGUGGACUCAUGCGAGCCACGUCAAAGGUCCAGUCACCACAGACGACCACUGGAAAGUGACCAGCCAGCCUGGGGACUUGGAGGUUACCAUUAAGAGAAACUAAGGAACUCUGUAUACAUCAUUCAAGUUGGUCACAAAGGGGAGCAAGAGGGAUAUAAUUACCUGCUUGUUAGUGAUUAUUUGAUAAUUUGUAAUAAGGUAAACUGUGAUUGUUAUCCUUUUGUAUGCUUUGCAUGUAAAGUUUGCCAAGAACGGUGGUGCGUCCAUUGCCCAAGGGGGAGGCUGCCCACUGGGGUUUGUACAGAAUGUUACACGACUGAACGAGAAUUAACCAAAGCUGUGUUGAAAUUAGGGGAGUGGGAAAUCAGUGGAUUCCCUUUGAAUCUGAGGAAAAUUUACACCAGAGGGGUGCAUCCAGAAAACUUUUGUUUCCACUCUAACGAGCCCCCUCCAUUUGUUGCCCAAAUUAUAAAAGGUUGUUGUCGGAGGGAACUAAAGGGGGUCCCGUGUGACCCACCCCCGGUCAAGGAUAAGAACUGGGAACAGUACAAGGUUGGGCAGGAGCAGGGGAAUGGGCGCUCAGGCGAGUACCGCUGCUGCCGAGAAGAUGGUUUACCCCGCGGCUCGAAGCACCCGAGUCGGCGGGCGAGGCAGAGGGGAAAGAGCCAGGCCCCCCAAAAAUAGAAUAAUGCUGAAAUGCUCCAACUAUUGCCAGCCAAGUACUAAGUUCCUCCAGAAGACCAGUCUGAUUACUCCAGAGACACCAACAGGGCAACAAGCCCAAAAGGGGAGAAUAGGACAUUAUACAUUAAAUGCAAGGCCAGGACUCCACCCUUAUUGGCAAAUUAUUGGUAUUACAAUGUUUUGUACCCUAUACUAAGGAGAGGGGUCCCAAGCUUUACAUCAACCUUUUAAGUGGACACUAACCCGAGUGGAUGGUGUGGGAAUUCAGAACCAGAUAACAUCCGGAUCCCCUAGUUUUAACCCACAGUUAUGUGAACUAGCCCCUAUAGAGCCUUGUUUGGAUAGAAACGGAUUUUAUAUGUGCCCAGCAUCAAACCCAGGGAAAGGGUAUUGCAACUACCCUGGAGAAUAUUUCUGUGGGCACUGGGGCUGUGAAACAAUAGCUUCAGAUUGGUCAGUAGCAGGAGAUAAAUUCCUUAAAGUAUCAUGGGAGCCUUAUGGAUAUAAACCUCCGCAGAGGGAUUCCAGUGGUGGAGUUGUGGACUUGGGGAACUGUCAUUAUUAAGGGAAGGCUAGAAGCAUCACACCUGAUGCUUAGAGCAAAAUAUGAGUCAAUACCAGAAAACCUAUAAAUGGAAGAGAUCCUAGUUAUAAGCCACCAAGAAUUACAAAGGUUUGAUGAACAAAAUGAUGAAAAGACAAAAGGGGGGAUUUGUGAAAGACAAUAGCAUAGUUUUUGUUCAUCAGGAACAAAUCCAGAGAUUGUGUAAGAUGCAGGAAACAGUGGGGCAGGAGGGCAGGAUGUACUGCUAUUAGUAGAUAGUGGAAUUGAGAGAUAUUUGAAGGCUGCGCUACCAUAUUUGGAGAAGUUAUUGCAGGGUUAACGCUACCUCGGAGGAAGAAGAAGAGGAGCUUUCCUCAAACGACCACCGGACAGCAGACAAAGACCCCUCGCAACACGCCGCGCAGAUGCAGAGCACGUCGAGAAAGUCACAAAGUCCGGAACUGAAGGGGUAUGAGAACUGAAAGACCGGGAGGUGCGGGGCGAGCCGUUGGUGGGAGCAGAGGCUCCCCGGCCGCCCAGCGCUGCAUUUGCCCGUACUGCUUGCUUGCUAAAUUAAUAAAAUUCUCUUUAUAA